CCCUUUAUAAGUUCUAUCCAUAUAUGCUCUGAUCGCAAACUCAUACUUGAUCCGAUUACAUUUUAUUAGAAUUGAGAGAAUACUUCAAAUUUUUUUGACUUUACUUUUUUUUUUUUGUUUCCGAAGUAACUCUCAUCAACUAGCACUAGUUUGGUGUGAACCUUUAGGAGUAAUUCAUCAAAUUGAUUAAAUCUAAAAUAAUAGCAU
RNAcentral lists this long non-coding RNA (207 nucleotides) under Coffea arabica (coffee). RNAcentral describes it as "long non-coding RNA (CARA_LNC004260)". The record is from RNAcentral. Lineage: Eukaryota; Viridiplantae; Streptophyta; Magnoliopsida; Gentianales; Rubiaceae.